UUAGAAGCAAGAUAAACGAUGGCUGUGGCAAAUGGAGAUAACUUUCAGGUUCAAAUCAUCUGGAAUAUCAACACAAUGGGCCAGUGUUGGUUCUUCAGUUGCACCAAUAAUCCAUGAAAGUAGGUUAAACAGUUCAAAUGGCACAACAGAUUUUGCUGCCCUAAUAUUUAAAUCAUUAGAUGUGGGUGACCAUGGACAUGUCAUUCAAGGAGAGUUAUCCACAAUUCUCUUUAGUAUCAAUGCCACAUUAUGAAGUGUCCUUGUGUUCUCUGCAGUACCAGCUAUUCUACUUGCUGUUCUUUCACCAAUACUUUGACUAGUUAUGUCUGUUGACUCAGUUGUUUCUGUACCUGAUGGAUGAGGUAUUCUUUCUACCAGAUGAGGUAUUGGUUCUACCAAUCUGCAGAAAGGGUUUUUUCAGAAAUGAAAAACAAUUCAUUGAUGUUGCUCUGGUUAGGAGAGUAAAACACCAGCUGGGGGAAAUCAUGGGACAGCCUCCACUUUAAUUUAUCCUGCCUGUAGAUUGAAGCAUCAAGAUCUUCAUGGCUCUUUACCAUAUUCUUCUUAGCCGUGUCAUAGUUGACACCCCUUGGUUUACAAUCAUUCGAUGGUGGACGACUCUCUCAGAGAAGACCUUGUAGCUUACAUCAUAGGUUGGCUCAUUUUGUUCUUCUGACGCCUGUGUAACUGUUCCAGUAGUCUUUUAUCAAGAACCUGAUGCACCGUCUUCAUCUUUAAUAUGCACAAAAAUGCUAGGGUCUUCCUUUAUCUCAGCUUCUUUAAGCAACUGACCUGUAA
This is a non-coding RNA of Danio rerio (zebrafish), 798 nucleotides long. Lineage: Eukaryota; Metazoa; Chordata; Actinopteri; Cypriniformes; Danionidae. The record is from Ensembl.